This 676-nucleotide ribosomal RNA is filed under the name Tetramitus sp. RNAcentral's name for it is "SSU rRNA". It matches the Rfam family "Eukaryotic small subunit ribosomal RNA", at positions 618 to 1181 of the family's 1831-position model. The record is from RNAcentral. Lineage: Eukaryota; Heterolobosea; Eutetramitea; Acrasida; Vahlkampfiidae.
GUUAAACGCCCGUAGUAAACCAAAGGGUUAUAGUUAUUGAUCUGAUCAGUUCUGUUCGUCAUAGUCAGCCACGUAUUGUGGCUGAUUGGAUGAAUAAGGACAGGUCCUCGGUCUCUAACGGAAGCGAAAGGGUUCGCCCAACUAGCAUCCGCUGUGGGAUAGGUCAAUGAUUAUGGCUCGCUCCCUAUCAGUCCGCAAGGUCUGAUAGGGCCAUUUGGCACAACCGUAAACAAAUCAGAGUGCUCCAAGCAGGCAAUGUCAGGGGUAACCCAUUUGCUUGAAUGAUUUAGCAUGGAAUUGUCACGAAGCCGAUCGGAAACUUCGAGGGUUUACCUGAGAAGUGGAAGAUCCGGCGCUCGCAAUGAGACACUGGUAGAGGAUCCAAGUACUAUGGCGCGAGAGGUGAAAUUCAGUGACCGCCAUAUGACUAUCUAAUGCGAAAGCAGUUGUGAUCCAGAACGUGUCUGUCAAUCAGGGACGAAAGUUAAGGGAUCGAAGAUGAUUAGAUACCGUCGUAGUCUUAACCGUAAACGAUACCAACACGAGAUUGGUAGUGAGACUUUUAGAUCCUAUCAGAAUCCAAGGGAAACCGUUAAGUUUUUGGGUUCUGGGGGGAAGUAUGGUCGCAAGGCUGAAACUUAAAGGAAUUGACGGAAAGGCACCACCAGGAGUGGAG